GAGCGGCAAAGCUCAAUUUGAAAUCCGCGCGGCUUGUACGUCCAAGAUUGUAAUUUUAAAAAAGCCACAUUGUGUCUGGUCCUUGUCUAUGUUCCUUGGGGUGACACCCCCUAUCUGGUGAGAAUCCCGUGUGGCUAGCAUCCCCAUUAAUUCUAGUGUGCUGGGAAUGAGUCUAGUUGUUUGGGAAUGCCUCUCUCAGUGGGUGGUAAAUGCCAUCAGACCCUAAAUAUUGGCGAAAGACCGAGGAAAAGUGAAUACAACGAUGGAAAGAUGAUGAAAACUUUGGUGAAAUUGUGGAAAAGGAAGGAAAAUUGUUGAAAGGGAAGGGCAUUUGAUCAGACAUGGCGUUUGCUUCGGCUUUCGCUGGGCCAGCAUCAGUUUUAGCGGUUGGAUAAAUCCUCGGGAAUGUGGCUCUGCUUCGGUAGAGUGUUAUAGCCCGUGGGAAUACAGCCAGCUGGGACUGAGGAUUGCGACUUUUGUCAAGGAUGCUGGCGUAAUGGUUAAAUGCCGC
This 511-nucleotide ribosomal RNA is filed under the name Kluyveromyces sp. RNAcentral's name for it is "partial 26S ribosomal RNA". It matches the Rfam family "Eukaryotic large subunit ribosomal RNA", at positions 97 to 648 of the family's 3401-position model. Lineage: Eukaryota; Fungi; Ascomycota; Saccharomycetes; Saccharomycetales; Saccharomycetaceae. The record is from RNAcentral.